GGGGGUGCACUGGUUUCGACUGGUACGGUUCGGGGUACAGGCUGCAGGUGGAGCGCCGAUCUCCUGAUUCGGCAAAACUUUAACUGCCAACAACGACAGUUACGAUUACGCCUUAGCUGCGUAAACGCGUGGAACCCUUCCGCCGCCUUGAGGAAGGGCUUCCGCGUCACAAUCAGGGCUGGCCGGUGAAACUUGUUUCACGUCCCGGUUCCGAACGGGAAACGGCGAGAUUUAGACGGAUACGGACAGGCCGCGUGCCGCGCAGCCAAGCCCGCCCCGACAAUACAAUGCGCGGCUAAAUCUGUAGAAGCCUGUGUUUCGCGUAUCAGGACGGGGGUUCGACUCCCCCCACCUCCAGUA
Molecule: transfer-messenger RNA, 360 nt
Filed under: Spirochaetaceae bacterium
Lineage: Bacteria; Pseudomonadati; Spirochaetota; Spirochaetia; Spirochaetales; Spirochaetaceae
Rfam family: transfer-messenger RNA
About the family: Bacterial tmRNA, also known as 10Sa RNA or SsrA, is named for its dual tRNA and mRNA-like properties. Its role is to liberate the mRNA from a stalled ribosome.
Source: RNAcentral